RNAcentral lists this ribosomal RNA (611 nucleotides) under uncultured Actinomycetes bacterium. RNAcentral describes it as "bacterial SSU rRNA". It matches the Rfam family "Bacterial small subunit ribosomal RNA", at positions 242 to 863 of the family's 1533-position model. Lineage: Bacteria; Bacillati; Actinomycetota; Actinomycetes. The record is from RNAcentral.
CAGCUUGUUGGUGAGGUUAUGGCUUACCAAGGCGACGACGGGUAGCCGGCCUGAGAGGGUGUCCGGCCACACUGGGACUGAGAUACGGCCCAGACUCCUACGGGAGGCAGCAGUGGGGAAUAUUGCACAAUGGGCGCAAGCCUGAUGCAGCGACGCCGCGUGGGGGAUGACGGCCUUCGGGUUGUAAACCUCUUUCAGCUAUGACGAAGCGCAAGUGACGGUAGUAGCAGAAGAAGCACCGGCCAACUACGUGCCAGCAGCCGCGGUAAUACGUAGGGUGCGAGCGUUGUCCGGAAUUACUGGGCGUAAAGAGCUCGUAGGUGGUUUGUCGCGUUGUUCGUGAAAACCUGAGGCUUAACCUUGGGCGUGCGGGCGAUACGGGCAGACUGGAGUACUGCAGGGGAGACUGGAAUUCCUGGUGUAGCGGUGGAAUGCGCAGAUAUCAGGAGGAACACCGGUGGCGAAGGCGGGUCUCUGGGCAGUAACUGACGCUGAGGAGCGAAAGCGUGGGGAGCGAACAGGAUUAGAUACCCUGGUAGUCCACGCCGUAAACGGUGGGUACUAGGUGUGGGUUUCCUUCCUUGGGAUCCGUGCCGUAGCUAACGCAUUAA